UCCCUAUGGGGUGCAGCAGGCGCGAAAACUUUACAAUGCGGGAAACCGCGAUAAGGGGAUACUGAGUGUCAGCAUCUUAUGUUGGCUGUCCACCUGUAUAAACAGCAGGUGUUAGCAAGGGCCGGGCAAGACCGGUGCCAGCCGCCGCGGUAACACCGGCGACCCGAGUGGUGACCACUAUUAUUGGGUCUAAAGGGUCCGUAGCCGGUUUGAUCAGUCUUCCGGGAAAUCUGACAGCUCAACUGUUAGGCUUCCGGGGGAUACUGUCAGACUUGGGACCGGGAGAGGUAAGAGGUACUACAGGGGUAGGAGUGAAAUCUUGUAAUCCUUGUGGGACCACUAGUGGCGAAGGCGUCUUACCAGAACGGGUCCGACGGUGAGGGACGAAAGCUGGGGGCACGAACCGGAUUAGAUACCCGGGUAGUCCCAGCCGUAAACGAUGCUCGCUAGGUGUCAGGCAUGGCGCGACCGUGUCUGGUGCCGCAGGGAAGCCGUGAAGCGAGCCACCUGGGAAGUACGGCCGCAAGGCUGAAACUUAAAGGAAUUGGCGGGGGAGCACAACAACGGGUGGAGCCUGCGGUUUAAUUGGAUUCAACGCCGGAA
This 603-nucleotide ribosomal RNA is filed under the name uncultured archaeon. RNAcentral's name for it is "bacterial SSU rRNA". It matches the Rfam family "Archaeal small subunit ribosomal RNA", at positions 319 to 923 of the family's 1478-position model. The record is from RNAcentral.